This 526-nucleotide long non-coding RNA is filed under the name Apteryx owenii (little spotted kiwi). Its description in RNAcentral is "lncRNA (ENSAOWG00000013144.1)". The record is from RNAcentral. Lineage: Eukaryota; Metazoa; Chordata; Aves; Apterygiformes; Apterygidae.
AUGUCAGAUGAACUUUGCCAGCUGGUCGCUAAUUCCCUGACUAGCUUUGUCGGCCCCGUAGGGCACUGGAGAGAAAACAAAGAAGCAUCUGGGAGAAUUAGCUGUCUCUCAUAUAGCCGUAGCAGCAGCCUAGUGCAGCAGACCCUCAUCUCUCAUGUGGUUUGGUAUAAUCUAAGGCCUGCCAGGACAGCUAAUGAGAGCACACAACCCAUAAUUUAAACUUUGCCAAGAAUUUCGAACAUCUGGGGAAGUUAGUGAUGAACAUGUCAGCCAAAGUCAACUGAUGCCAUCUGUAAAUGCAAAACUAAAAAUAUGCCAGUGUGAGUGGAGAAGAAAAUCAAGGCACAUCCAUUGUUGGCAACAGAUUUUUCAUUGUGAAAAUCCACCCUCUGAGUGCCAGGACAUUACAUAUAUAAUAACAGAUGAACAACAGAGAUCAUCUUAAUUACUGGGCUAGCCUAACCUUGGUGAUGUUCAAAAAUUGCUUGGGCGCCUGGAGAUUGAGUGGCCAUUAACUGAGAAACAA